RNAcentral lists this long non-coding RNA (410 nucleotides) under Elaeis guineensis (African oil palm). Its description in RNAcentral is "long non-coding RNA (EGUI_LNC029865)". The record is from RNAcentral. Lineage: Eukaryota; Viridiplantae; Streptophyta; Magnoliopsida; Arecales; Arecaceae.
GUGUGUGUGUGUGUGUGUGUGUGUGUGUGGUGUGUGUGUGUGUGUAUUAUUAUNNNNNNNNNNNNNNNNNNNNUAUAUAUAUAUAUAGUGUGUGUGUGUGUGUGUGUGUGUGUGUGUGGGUGUGUGUGUGUGUGUAUUUAUAUGUGUGUAUGUGUGUGUGUGUAUGUAUGUAUGUGUGUGUGUGUGUGUGUGUGUGUGUGUGUAUGUGUGUGUGUGUGUAUAUAUAUACAGUUUAAAAUUUGAUAAUUAAAAAAUUAAAUUUAAAAUUAUGGAUUAUAUUCACUGAUUGAUUUUAAAAUUUAAUAAUAAAUAAUCUAUUUUCGGAUUUUAUCUGAUCAAGAUAUAUUGUGCUGGAUCAGUUUACUUUUAUCCUUCAAAAUGGGCUCAAAAAAUCAAUAACCAUGUUUGGA